Molecule: transfer RNA, 78 nt
Filed under: Acidobacteriota bacterium
Lineage: Bacteria; Pseudomonadati; Acidobacteriota
Description: Acidobacteria bacterium (activated sludge metagenome) tRNA-Met
Rfam family: tRNA
About the family: Transfer RNA (tRNA) molecules are approximately 80 nucleotides in length.
Source: RNAcentral
GGCUGCGUAGCUCAGUUGGAAGAGAGCAUCUCAUUCAUAACGAGAAGGUCAGCGGUUCAAUUCCGCUCGCAGCUACCA